UGAGAGAGGUCGGAGAAGUUCUUCUAAGGGUCUGGCCGAGCUCGGGGAUCCUCUAUAUACAUGGGCGAGGUUGGUUCCCGGCUGCUGCGGAUAACUCCGACAAACUGUUGCAGGGGGCGGCGUGGCGGUCGGCUGGCGGGGACCGCGAGCUAGCGAACGAGCAAGGGAGCCGGACCGGGGAUAGCUCGCGCGCUAGGGUGGCUCGGGCGGCGAUGCCAUGGCAGGGGUCAGCUGCGGCCGCCGGCGUGCUCCCAAGGAGGGUCUGACGGUGGCGCUGCGAGGUACGAGGGGGCGGCCGGAGUAUCUCUUUGGUCUUGGAGGAGACGGAGCCGGGGUUGCGGUAAGUGGGGCUCAGCGAAGCAGAUGCACUGUCUACAAUAGACGCG
This 386-nucleotide long non-coding RNA is filed under the name Hordeum vulgare. RNAcentral describes it as "long non-coding RNA (HVUL_LNC009686)". The record is from RNAcentral. Lineage: Eukaryota; Viridiplantae; Streptophyta; Magnoliopsida; Poales; Poaceae.